RNAcentral lists this ribosomal RNA (325 nucleotides) under uncultured eukaryote. RNAcentral describes it as "partial 18S ribosomal RNA". It matches the Rfam family "Eukaryotic small subunit ribosomal RNA", at positions 1470 to 1796 of the family's 1831-position model. The record is from RNAcentral.
CCCUUAGAUGUUCUGGGCCGCACGCGCGCUACACUGAUGCAUUCAACGAGCCUAUCCUUGACCGACAGGUCCGGGUAAUCUUUGAAUCUGCAUAGUGACGGGGAUAGAUUAUUGCAAUUAUUAAUCUUCAACGAGGAAUGCCUAGUAGGCGCAAGUCAUCAGCUUGCGUCGAUUACGUCCCUGCCCUUUGUACACACCGCCCGUCGCUCCUACCGAUUGGGUGUGCUGGUGAAAUGUUCGGAUCGGCCGUUUGUCGCGGUUUCCGCGGCUCGUGGCUGAGAAGUUCAUUAAACCCUCCCACCUAGAGGAAGGAGAAGUCGUAACA